GAUGAACGCUGGCGGCGUGCCUAAUACAUGCAAGUCGAGCGAACAGACGAGGAGCUUGCUCCUCUGACGUUAGCGGCGGACGGGUGAGUAACACGUGGAUAACCUACCUAUAAGACUGGGAUACUUCGGGAAACCGGAGCUAAUACCGGAUAAUAUAUUGAACCGCAUGGUUCAAUAGUGAAAGACGGUUUUGCUGUCACUUAUAGAUGGAUCCGCGCCGCAUUAGCUAGUUGGUAAGGUAACGGCUUACCAAGGCAACGAUGCGUAGCCGACCUGAGAGGGUGAUCGGCCACACUGGAACUGAGACACGGUCCAGACUCCUACGGGAGGCAGCAGGAGGGAAUCUUCCGCAAUGGGCGAAAGCCUGACGGAGCAACGCCGCGUGAGUGAUGAAGGUCUUCGGAUCGUAAAACUCUGUUAUUAGGGAAGAACAAAUGUGUAAGUAACUAUGCACGUCUUGACGGUACCUAAGCAGAAAGCCACGGCUAACUACGU
RNAcentral lists this ribosomal RNA (495 nucleotides) under uncultured bacterium. RNAcentral describes it as "partial 16S ribosomal RNA". It matches the Rfam family "Bacterial small subunit ribosomal RNA", at positions 28 to 506 of the family's 1533-position model. The record is from RNAcentral.